RNAcentral lists this ribosomal RNA (213 nucleotides) under uncultured bacterium. RNAcentral describes it as "partial 16S ribosomal RNA". It matches the Rfam family "Bacterial small subunit ribosomal RNA", at positions 524 to 736 of the family's 1533-position model. The record is from RNAcentral.
UACGUAGGGUGCGAGCGUUAAUCGGAAUUACUGGGCGUAAAGCGUGCGCAGGCGGUUCGUUAUGUCCGAUGUGAAAGCCCCGAGCUCAACUUGGGAAUGGUAUUGGAAACUGGCGGGCUGGAGUGUGGCAGAGGGGGGUGGAAUUCCACGUGUAGCAGUGAAAUGCGUAGAGAUGUGGAGGAACACCGAUGGCGAAGGCAGCCCCCUGGGCCA